GAUGAACGCUGGCGGCGUGCCUAAUACAUGCAAGUCGAGCGAACAGACGAGGGGCUUGCUCCUCUGACGUUAGCGGCGGACGGGUGAGUAACACGUGGAUAACCUACCUAUAAGACUGGGAUAACUUCGGGAAACCGGAGCUAAUACCGGAUAACAUGUUGAACCGCAUGGUUCAACAGUGAAAGACGGUCUUGCUGUCACUUAUAGAUGGAUCCGCGCCGCAUUAGCUAGUUGGUAAGGUAACGGCUUACCAAGGCAGCGAUGCGUAGCCGACCUGAGAGGGUGAUCGGCCACACUGGAACUGAGACACGGUCCAGACUCCUACGGGAGGCAGCAGUAGGGAAUCUUCCGCAAUGGGCGAAAGCCUGACGGAGCAACGCCGCGUGAGUGAAGAAGGUCUUCGGAUCGUAAAACCCUGUUAUUAGGGAAGAACAAAUGUGUAAGUAACUAUGCACGUCUUGACGGUACCUAAUCAGAAAGCCACGGCUAACUACGUG
Molecule: ribosomal RNA, 497 nt
Filed under: uncultured bacterium
Lineage: Bacteria
Description: partial 16S ribosomal RNA
Rfam family: Bacterial small subunit ribosomal RNA
Source: RNAcentral